This 290-nucleotide ribosomal RNA is filed under the name uncultured bacterium. RNAcentral describes it as "partial 16S ribosomal RNA". It matches the Rfam family "Bacterial small subunit ribosomal RNA", at positions 334 to 620 of the family's 1533-position model. The record is from RNAcentral.
UGGUCCUACGGGGGGCAGCAGUGAGGAAUAUUGGUCAAUGGGCGAGAGCCUGAACCAGCCAAGUCGCGUGAGGGAAGACGGUCCUAUGGAUUGUAAACCUCUUUUGUCGGGGAGCAAAAAGGCCUCGUGAGGCCACAAGUGAGAGUACCCGAAGAAAAAGCAUCGGCUAACUCCGUGCCAGCAGCCGCGGUAAUACGGAGGAUGUGAGCGUUAUCCGGAUUUAUUGGGUUUAAAGGGUGUGUAGGCGGACUGGAAAGUCAGCGGCAAAAUCGAGAGGCUGAACCUCUUUC